This is a non-coding RNA of Paramuricea clavata, 307 nucleotides long. The record is from the annotation of a GenBank genome assembly. NCBI's taxonomy places the organism in Eukaryota, Metazoa, Cnidaria, Anthozoa, Malacalcyonacea, Plexauridae.
ACCAGGGACGCCGGAACGAUAAUAGGGCAAAGGGGGGCGGACGCACACCAAGGGCACCUUUACUGAAAAAUUUUUUCAAUUUACUCAAAAAAAUUUUCCGGACAUACAAAAAUUUUCCGUGAAGCCAAAAAUUUUUCCGGAUAUCUUAAAUUUUCGCCAUUUCUUCGAAAUAUUUUUCUAAAUUCCAAAAAUUUCCCAAAAUUUUUAUAAAUAUAAACUAUAAAUUACCUGAAUCUCGUGAUUUUCCUACAAAAAGCAUCGUUGGAAAUGUGAUUUAUCACGUAUUAUUUUACAACUAAAAGGGCAC